AGAUCGCGCCAUUGGACUCCAGCCUGGGUAACAAGAGCGGAACCUCCGUCAGAAAAAAGAAAAAAAAAAAGAAAAAAAAAAUGUGAGAGUUGUACUCAUCCUGUCUUCAAAAUCCCAUGUGUAUUUGACACUUUACAGCACAGCUCCAUUAGAACUGACCACAUUUCCAGGGCUCCCUAGAUACCUGUGGCUAGCGGCUGCCAUAGUGCACUGCGCUGGGCAGUAGAAUGGGGGAUGACAAGACAGGGCGGCGGAGAUUGGGAUGGCGUGAAAUGAGGGAAACACUCGCCGGUGGGAGAAAGCAGAAUAGUAAGGGGGCACCGAAAGAUUCAGUAGUCCACGUGAAUAUCUUGAUUAUCUUAUAAUCGAGAUAAUGUGGGGUCCAGCUCUACCGGGUCUGUGGGUUUUCUCUUCGUGUGCGGAGACGAGAGAUCGUAGAAAUAAAGACGCAAGACAAAGAGAUAGGAAGAAAGACAGCUGGGCCCGGGAGACCACUGCCACCAAAGCGCGGAGACCGUAGUGGCCCCCAGUGCCUGGACGGCGCUGCUAUUUAUUGUAUUCAAGGCAAGGGGGCAGGGUAAGGAGUGUGAGUCAUCUCAGAUGAUUGAUUGAUAGGUCACGCGAGUCACGUGUCCACGGGACAGGGGGGCCUUUCCCUUUGUGGUAGCCGAGGUGGAGAGGGAGGACAGCAAACGUCAGCAUUUCUUCUAUGCACUUAUCAGAAAGAUCAAAGACUUUAGUCCUUUUACUAAUUCUGCCACUGCUCUCUUCUAAGAACUCAAAAGGAGGAGCCAGGUGUACAGGCGGAACGUGAAAGUGAACACGGAGCGUGACCGCUGAAGCACAGCAUCACAGGGAGACGUUUAAGCCUCCGGACGACUGCGGGCACGCCUGGCUAAUGUCAGGCCCUCCCACAAGAGGUGGUGGAGCAGAGUGUUCUCUAACUCCCCUGGAGAAACGGAGAUUCCCUUUCCCGGUGUGCUAAGUAACGGGUGCCUUCCCAGGCACUGGCGCUACCGCUACACCAAGGAGCCCUCAAGCGGCUUUUAUCUGGGCGUGACCGAGGGCUCACACUCUUGUCUUCUGGUCACCUCUCACUGUGUCCCUUCCGCUCCUAACUCUGUAUGGCCUGGUUUUUCCUAGGUUAUAAUAAGAGAACGGAGAUUAUUGUAAUCACAGAACAGAGAGUCAUACUACAAACUAAUGAUUUAACACUGUUCACAUAUAAUCAUAUCUGUAUCCUAUUUCUAGUAUCACUUUUCUUAUUCUAAUUAUUUUCUUUAUUAUACUGGAACAGCUUGUGGCUUCAGCCUCUUGCCUCGGCACCUGGCUGUCUUACCGCCCCCAUCGCCCCCCUUUUUAUUGACCAGGAUCGUCACUGCCAUCAUUGCUUGUCGUUGACUUCAGACUUGUCCUCGGACCCCUCGGAGACAUCUGCAGACUAAAAGCAGCCAACAUAAACGUACCGACGUUAAUAACGCCAAAGACAACAGUGGUCUUCUGAGGGGUUUGAUCCAUUUAAAGGGAUUUGGAUCAGAUAACCCUUUGGUUAUUCCUUCAAAGAUGUCUGAUCCAGGAAUGGUAGUUAAGUGAGCCUGCGAGUCCUCAAAAAUUUGUUCUUUAAGUUUUGAGAUACCUAACGUUAGGUUAUCAUCCCAGGCUUUUAAAUUUAAGUCUCAUGACUUUUUCCAGCUAUGCUGAUCUUUAUUAUAAGCAUAAGGCCUUAUGUAAUAAUCAGAAGUAUUCCAAUCACAUUGUAAUUGCAUACGGUGUUCCAAAUUCAUAACUCUAUCUCCCAGCCAUAUCAUACUCUGGCGGAGAUCAUUAAUUUGAUUAGCCAAUUUUUGAUCAGCCUGAGCCUGAGAAUUCCGGAGUCUAGUGGAGUUUUUCUGCCAUGCUUCCACAUAUUGAGCGGUCUGGACAGAAUUGUGGAUAGCAAGUCCAGCGGCCGCUGCUGUGGCAGUAACCGCAAUUAAUCCCGCAAUGACUGCAGUAAGAGUAAAGAGGAACCUCUUAGUUGUCUGAAGGGUACGUCUAAGAACUUCAUUGACUAUGUGAAUAGAGGGAGAAGACUCCCAUGGACGGUGUAAGGAAACUGGUAUCCAUACGCCCUCCCUAGCCCUCACCAGGAGAAUACUUGUUCUGGGAUCAAAAGGGGCAUCAAUACAUGUGAUGAGUUUGCAGUCAUCACAUUCUAUAGUUUGUCUAUUGGGAGUGACAUUUAUAAUUCCAACUAACAGCAUAUAAGGGGGUUAUCCCUUGUAGGCUCCUGAUAGGUAUUACCUGUUCUGACAUUACAGUGACUUUAAACAUGGGUGUUUUGGUAUUGGUGGGAGAGAUUUGGUAGGUAGCGUCCCAUAGUCUGAUUCCGGUCGUGGCCGCAGCUAAUUUCCGUAAUCGAGGAUGUUCUGGGGCAACAAUAGGAUGAAUCGUUUUUGGUCUAGGAGGAACGAUUCCUGAGUCCAUCCAUUUGAAUGGGUAAGGAGACACCCAUUCCCUCAACCUGCAGGACUGCCAUCCGUCUCGUACGCGAUGUAUCAAAUAAUUGAACUCAGAGCAUUGGGUAUUUUGGCCGGAGUAGUUCCGCCAAUAAUACCCUCUUGGAGCCCAGUCAAUAACAGCUCCUGUAACUAGGCUCCGUAACACUACGUACGGCUUUUGGAGCAUUACAGUCAUUCCAUAUGAUUGAGUUCCCUAAACAAGUUCCCUCGGUAGGUUCUCUUGAACAGUCUGGCAGUCCUUUUGUUGUAUUAUUUUUGGUGGUGACGGGAACUCUCCAUUCCUCAUGAGGAUUAAGUUCAACAGCCAUGAUCUGAAAAGAAUUACUACUGAACACAUGAUGUACUUCAUAAGAAUCAUUACUAGAGGAUGGUACGGUCCACAUCCAAUUUUGAUUAGAGAAAGCCAAGCAGCCAGGUGACAUUGCUAUGCACAAUGGCGGGAAUUUAUAUCCAAUUGACAAAUUAAACUGCAUACCCUUUUCCUCUGGUUGAGCGGGAAACCUGUCAUCGUUAGGGACUGGUAUAAGUGCGCUAUUACUAGUAUACAGGCAGCAUUUGCGAAGCUGUUGAAUGACCUCAUCAUUUAGUAUAGUUUGAUUUGUAGUUGCAGGCCAUUGUCCCCUUCCCAAUAACUGGUCAGCUGCAACAUUAACAGGAGGAUUAGAGCCUUGAUUAAGCUGAACUCGAUCCUGGACAGCAUCGACCCACCAAGUCCCGAAUUGUAAAUAUUGGGAUUUAGAUAAUACCGAUUUUGCUAGAAUUUACCAAUCAUAAGGCACCAAACUGCUGUUUAUCUUCUGCGAGGGCUUUUAAUGUGGACCGGACAAAAGGGGAGUUGGUGCCGUAUUGCUUCACUGAUUCUUUGAAAUCUUUGAGGAAUUUAGAAGAAAAACUUUCGCAAGAAGCAGGGCGUAGCUGGACCUGGCCUGGAUGAAGAGGAUCUGGUUGGACUACUGCCCGGACUGCAGGUAUACCUGGAACUGGCUGCGCCGCAGGCAGUUGUGGAGCCUGGUGAUUUGCCUGAGGAGCCUGACUGUCAGGCUGCGGAGCUUGAGGAGCCUGAGGAGCCGCGGGCUCAGCCACCUGCUGGGCAGGAUCAGCGGGCUGUGGCUGAUCCUGUGCCUCAGGGACGGGGGCGGCAGGCAUCGGAGGUUGUAAAAUUACAGGAAAUUGCCAGGCUUCGGGAUCCCCGUAUUCCCUUGCCUGAGAGAUGGCCCUCAUAAGAGGAGUAUCAUUUUAAGGAAUGUAUGUGAUUUGUUGCUCGUGAGCGGCCAUGGUGGUGGCGGCAACCGCAGUGGUGACCGGACCAGAAGCAGAAAAGAAAUGAGGGUUUUGAAUAGAGGAAGAAUUGAGAACCUGUAAGCCAGGUGGAGGCGCGAGUACCUGCUGAGCAGGUCUUUCAGGGGCCUGAAGACCAGGCUGCCGGCGGUAACUGCAGGACAGGCUUCAAGCGAGCCUGAUACUCCGAAGGAGAAGCAGAAGUGAGAGAUGGAUAACCGGGUUGAGUAGGGAUAGGGUUGAGGGCCUCGUUACCGGGCCGAAGGGGCGGAAGGUGGAGAGGCCUGCGGCAGGUGGAGAGGCCUGCGGCAGGGCUGAACAGAGACAGUGUUGAGAGCCUCAUUCGCGGGCUGAGAAUUGAGAGCCUCCGUACCAGGCUGCAUAGAAACGUAGUUCAGAGCCUCUUUUUCAGGCUGUAUAGCCUCAUUUCCGGGCUGUGUAGAUGGAAGGUGGGGGGCCCUGUAGCAGGGCUGAGGAAAGAUAGGAGGGUCCGGCCACGACGACGGCUGUGGAUAGUAUAUUUCGGUUGGAUUCUGCUGGUUGGGGGCGAGGACAUCAUUUGAAAGUUCAUCGUAAAGUGAUGAUGGGGGCACGGCAGGCUCUGGUGUGGGCGGCGGGGCCCAAGGAAUGUCAGAAUGGAGGUCCGUCUGUAGAAUCACGGCCUCAAUCUGUGCAGUAUCCUCAGGGGAAAGAGAACUGAGAAUUUCCUCAACCUCCUCAGAGGAGAGGAAAGAGGGAUCAGCCUCCACGUUGUCCACGCGAGUCUGCAAGGAGUCUAGGACAGAGCGAACCGAAGCCCAGACUGGCCGAAUAGUGGGCGGAAUAACGUGUCCCCCUUUAUGAGCAAUUUUAAAUUGUCGGCCAAUUUCAUCCCAAUGUUUGAGUUCUAAAGUUCCCUCAGUAGCAAACCAAGGGUAAAGGAGAUCUACGACCUCGAACUGGUUUAAUUCACUUAUUAGUAGAAACUUUUACACCUCCGUCUUUAAGCAGAGUCUUUAUAACAUUUAAAUAAGCCGAGUACUUGGUACCGGCCUGUCCCAUGGUGUCCCCGGGAUACUCUGAGUGCCCAAGCUUACCGCCCAGCCUAUUGACCGCAAGCCUCAGGAAUCUGUCGUCGGUAGUCCUCCGCUGAGUUCCGCGCUCAAAGUGCACCUUCACACAGCGAGAGAGAAAUCCUCGUUGGGUGCCAGAUGUAGGGUCCAGCCCUACGGGGCCUGUGGGUUUUCUCUUCGUGUGCGGAGACGAGAGAUCGUAGAAAUAAAGACACAAGACACAGAGACAGGAUGAAAGACAGCUGGGCCCGGGGGACCACUGCCACCAAGCGCGGAGACCGGUAGUGGCCCCGAAUGCCUGGACGGGCUGCUCUUUAUUGUAUUCGAGGCAAGGGGGCAGGGUAAGGGGUGUGAGUCAUCUCAAAUGAUUGAGAGGUCACGCGAGUCACGUGUCCACUGGACAGGGGGUCUUUCCCUUUGUGACAGCCGAGGCGGAGAGGGAGGACGGCAUAGGUCAGCAUUUCUUCUACGCACUUAUCAGAAGGAUCAAAGACUUUAGUACUUUUACUAAUUCUGCUACUGCUAUCUUCUAAGAACUUAAAAGGAGGAGCCAGGUGUACAGGCGGAACGUGAAAGUGAACAAGGAGCGUGACCACUGAAUGAAGCACAGCAUCACAGGGAGACGGUCCAGCCUCCGGACGACUGAGGGCGGGCCUGGCUAAUGUCAGGCCUCCCACAAGAGGUGCCGGAGCAGAGUGUUCUCCAUCUCCCCUGGAGAAAGGGAGAUUCCCUUUCCCGGUGUGCUAAGUAACGGGUGCCCUCCCGGGCACUGGCGUUACCGCUAGACCAAGGUCUGUUAAGUAAGGAGGGCCUUCCCAGGCACUGGCGUUACCGCUAGACCAGGAGCCCUCGAGCGGCCCUUAUCCGGGCGUGACCGAGGGCUCACACGCUUGUCUUCUGGUCACCUCUCACCGUGUCCCUCCAGCUGCUAACUCUCUAUGGCCCGGUUUUCCCUAGGUUAAAACAACAGAACAGAGAUUCUUACAGUAGUAGAACAAAGAGUAAUGCUGCAAACUAAUGAUUAGUAAUAGUCAUAUAUAAUCAUAUCUGUAUCCUAUUUCUGGUAUAACUUUUCUUAUUCUGAUUAUUUUCUUUAUUAUACUGUAACAGCUUGUGCCUUCAGUCUCUUGCCUCGGCCCCUGGGUGGCUUGCCGCCCACAAGGUAAGAUAUAUUGCAUUGAACUAUAGUUUGUGUUGAUUGCCGAAGGGUUUGGGGCGGGGGGGGGCACCCCCUGAAAUUCCGCCCUGGAGGAGUGGCCUCACCCUAACCCCGGCCGUGCCUAAUGAUAAGGCCCACCUCUGACGGCCUUCGGCCGUCGAGUGAAAUAAAUGUUGGAGGUAAUGCGCCUAAAGCCCUCAGCCCUCAGCUCUCCGCCGAAGUUGGGUUAGGAAGGAGGAAGGGAGAGGUAAAUGCUGACCCCGCAGGCGGCAGUCUGUGCCUCGGAGAGAAACUUUAUCGCAACCUUGCCGGGGCCUUGACGGCCAUCCUCCCGCAAGAGCACCCCGGCAGUCACCCCUGCCCUCUGGUGUCCUGCCACCCCGAGCCCGACCUUCCCCCUUUACCCCCGCGCGGGGCCAGUAACCUCCUAACUGCGUCUUCUCUGUUUCGGGCUGUCGUGCUCAUCACGUUUGCGUCGUUUCUUCGCUCCACAAACGUUUACUGAGCGCCUUCCACACGCCAGGCACCAGACUAGCGCCGGCAAACGGGGAUAAGUACUGGGGAGGGGUCCCAGCCCUCAGUGAUGGGAUUUCAGAGGGGGAGAUAAAGGAUUGCCCAGAAGGGUGGUGAGUGGAAUAGUUGAUAUAAACAACGGGGGUGCGACGAAAUACAAAGGAGGGCUGCUAGUCACGUAUGGGGUGAGUGCCCAGGGCCCUUAAUUAAGGGAGGCUUCCUGGACGGGUGACACCCAAGCGGAGUCCUGACAACCUGCGUCAGGAGUAGCCAGGCGAGGAGGAGGUGAAAGGAAUCCACGUCCCGAGCAGAGAGGCAGCUUUCCCUGCACAGCACAGGACACGGUCCGUGCACAGAAGCCACAGGAGACGCAGGCACAGGGGCUGGGGAGAAUCCUUGCCGGGCCCUCGCCAUCCACGCGCCGCCUCCCUCUGCCGGGUGUCUGGUGUCAGCCUCCCGCCCGGCAGAGGAACUCCAGCCCCUGCUCCCGGAAGCACCUCCAGGCCUUCGGCUUCCCCGACUCCCUGAAUGGGCCCCACGUCCGGCGGGUACGAGGCCGGUCUCCCCGCCCGCUGGUGACGAAGUAAAGGCCCGGCGCCGCCCGGGCUCCUGCCCUGGGACCUCGUCUUUCUCCAGGAAAACGUGGACGGCUCUCCGCCGAGCGGUCUCUUCCACAGUCCCCUCUCGCCUUCGCCCCCAGUCUCCUUCGGUUCUGUCUUCGCGCCGGCGGGAUACAAACCAGGAAGUCGCCCCCAGCGGAGCCCCGGCUCCCCCACGCAGAGGCGGCCCCCGGGGCGGAGUCAACCUCGGAGGCCGCGCCCUCCCUGAAAGGGCGGGGCAUGUAAAUUCGAAAUGAAAGCCCGGGAACGCCGGAUCCAAGCACCGGUGUGAGGUCAUACCUUACACCCGUGCUUGGAGGUCGUAACUACAAAGGUCUUUCCUGAAGGGGAGUGUAAAUUCCUUCUGUGUCUAACAGUGCUUAUCACCCCUUGGCUAUAGUUGAGGACAAUAGCUCGAUAGCUCCGUGGAGUGAAUCAUCCUGAGGUCCUAGCCCCACCCUACAGCCAUUAAAUUAGAAUCUUUGGGACAGGGCCUAAGGCUGUUGUACUUCACAGCUUCCGGGGUAUUUCCCUGGGACCAAAAGCACCUCUUAGAAAUGUCCAGUGAAGACAGUAGUGAGCUUGGUCUGGAACAACGAAUUGUCCCCGGAAGUGAAAGUGUUCAACAGGAGGCACUCAGUAACCAGUGUGUGUAAAUGAGAGAGUAGCAAAUCCCUUGGUUUUGUCACUGACAAGAGGCCACCCAGCCCAGUGAGGAGGCUUUUCCACCCAAAUUGGAAUAUGUGCACAGCAAGUCCGACAGCUUCUGUGCUGUUCCCACUCUGCAGAACUAGAUGGACCCCACCGCCACUACUGACCGAAAAUUUAUUUUGGAAAUCGAGACUGGUGACACCACACAGGCACCGAGAAGGCGUGAAAGGUUUAUAACUCACAAAAUGAGGUGUUCUGGGAGAUCAGAGUGGCUCCCAGGCAGGUCGGAAAACGACUUGAGAGCGAGGAGACUGGAAUGGGAGCCUCUUGUCAUCUCCACUCAGAUUGUCGGGACCUAUUAAUACACUUGGCUCUAAGAGGAGGAGGGCUGUGAAGGAACGCUAAUGCCUACAGCGCCUUGGUCAUUUAGGCUGAGGUUAAGUGCGGGACUUGCACUGUCAGUUACCGUUAUUUCGCAUUACAUCAGCAAAGGAGAUCUCUAAACGCUGUCUGCUGACAAGGUGGAAUGGGAGGUUCUUUCGUUACCUCCACGCGUUUGCAUUGGAUCGUCGGGGCCUGUUAGCACACUUGUGUGUAUAUAAGUCAGCAGCGUGUACUUUGGAGAGUGUGGCUGCUUUAGAUUUCACUUGGUUUAGUCACAUGCGGUGUGACGAUCAUUGGAUUAAAGGUUACCGCACCUACAUCA
Molecule: non-coding RNA, 8459 nt
Organism: Macaca mulatta (Rhesus monkey)
Lineage: Eukaryota; Metazoa; Chordata; Mammalia; Primates; Cercopithecidae
Source: RefSeq, a predicted model, not a curated record